Molecule: ribosomal RNA, 390 nt
Filed under: uncultured bacterium
Lineage: Bacteria
Description: bacterial SSU rRNA
Rfam family: Bacterial small subunit ribosomal RNA
Source: RNAcentral
GACGAACGCUGGCGGCGUGCUUAACACAUGCAAGUCGAGCGGUAAGGCCCUUUCGGGGGUACGACGAGCGGCGAACGGGUGAGUAACACGUGGGUGACCUGCCCUCAGCUCUGGGAGUAAGCCUGGGAAACCGGGUACUAAUACCGGAUAUGACUCCAUGACGCAUGUUGUGGGGUGGAAAGCCUUGUGCGGCUGAGGAUGGGCCCGCGGCCUAUCAGCUUGUUGGUGGGGUGAUGGCCUACCAAGGCGACGACGGGUAGCCGGCCUGAGAGGGCGACCGGCCACACUGGGACUGAGACACGGCCCAGACUCCUACGGGAGGCAGCAGUGGGGAAUCUUGCGCAAUGGGCGAAAGCCUGACGCAGCGACGCCGCGUGAGGGAUGACGGCU